AACGAACGCUGGCGGCAGGCCUAACACAUGCAAGUCGAACGCCGUAGCAAUACGGAGUGGCAGACGGGUGAGUAACACGUGGGAACGUACCCUUCGGUUCGGGAUAACUCAGGGAAACUUGAGCUAAUACCGGAUACGUCCGAGAGGAGAAAGAUUUAUCGCCGAGGGAUCGGCCCGCGUCUGAUUAGCUUGUUGGUGAGGUAACGGCUCACCAAGGCGACGAUCAGUAGCUGGUCNGAGAGGAUGAUCAGCC
RNAcentral lists this ribosomal RNA (253 nucleotides) under uncultured bacterium. RNAcentral describes it as "partial 16S ribosomal RNA". It matches the Rfam family "Bacterial small subunit ribosomal RNA", at positions 29 to 309 of the family's 1533-position model. The record is from RNAcentral.